Molecule: ribosomal RNA, 253 nt
Filed under: uncultured bacterium
Lineage: Bacteria
Description: partial 16S ribosomal RNA
Rfam family: Bacterial small subunit ribosomal RNA
Source: RNAcentral
UACGUAGGGUGCAAGCGUUAAUCGGAAUUACUGGGCGUAAAGCGUGCGCAGGCGGCUUUGCAAGACAGAUGUGAAAUCCCCGGGCUUAACCUGGGAACUGCAUUUGUGACUGCAUGGCUGGAGUGCGGCAGAGGGGGAUGGAAUUCCGCGUGUAGCAGUGAAAUGCGUAGAUAUGCGGAGGAACACCGAUGGCGAAGGCAAUCCCCUGGGCCUGCACUGACGCUCAUGCACGAAAGCUAGGGGAGCAAACGGG